UGCUGAGGCGAACCGGGGGAACUGAAACAUCUAAGUACCCCGAGGAAGAGAAAUCAACCGAGAUUCCGGCAGUAGCGGCGAGCGAAACCGGAUUAGCCCUUAAGCUAGUCUUGCGUUAGGUGAACAAGCUGGAAAGCUUGGCGAUACAGGGUGAUAGCCCCGUAACCGACAGCGCAUAACGAGUGAAAUCGAGUAGGACGGGACACGUGAUAUCCUGUCUGAACAUGGGGGGACCAUCCUCCAAGGCUAAAUACUCCUGACUGACCGAUAGUGAACCAGUACCGUGAGGGAAAGGCGAAAAGAACCCCUGUGAGGGGAGUGAAAUAGAACCUGAAACCGUGUACGUACAAGCAGUAGGAGCCCUUCGGGGUGACUGCGUACCUUUUGUAUAAUGGGUCAGCGACUUAAUUUUAGUAGCAAGGUUAACCGAUUAGGGGAGCCGUAGGGAAACCGAGUCUUAACUGGGCGUGCAGUUGCUAGGAUUAGACCCGAAACCAGGUGAUCUAGCCAUGGGCAGGUUGAAGGUGAGGUAACACUUACUGGAGGACCGAACCGACUAAUGUUGAAAAAUUAGCGGAUGACUUGUGGCUAGGGGUGAAAGGCCAAUCAAACCUGGAGAUAGCUGGUUCUCCCCGAAAGCUAUUUAGGUAGCGCCUCGGACGAAUACUACUGGGGGUAGAGCACUGUUAAGGCUAGGGGGUCAUCCCGACUUACCAACCCUUUGCAAACUCCGAAUACCAGUAAGUACUAUCCGGGAGACACACGGCGGGUGCUAACGUCCGUCGUGGAGAGGGAAACAACCCAGACCGCCAGCUAAGGUCCCAAAGUUAUAGCUAAGUGGGAAACGAUGUGGGAAGGCUCAGACAGCCAGGAUGUUGGCUUAGAAGCAGCCAUCAUUUAAAGAAAGCGUAAUAGCUCACUGGUCGAGUCGGCCUGCGCGGAAGAUUUAACGGGGCUAAGCUAUACACCGAAGCUGCGGCAAU
RNAcentral lists this ribosomal RNA (983 nucleotides) under Photobacterium sanctipauli. RNAcentral describes it as "bacterial LSU rRNA". It matches the Rfam family "Bacterial large subunit ribosomal RNA", at positions 172 to 1209 of the family's 2925-position model. Lineage: Bacteria; Pseudomonadati; Pseudomonadota; Gammaproteobacteria; Vibrionales; Vibrionaceae. The record is from RNAcentral.